RNAcentral lists this ribosomal RNA (494 nucleotides) under uncultured bacterium. Its description in RNAcentral is "partial 16S ribosomal RNA". It matches the Rfam family "Bacterial small subunit ribosomal RNA", at positions 28 to 507 of the family's 1533-position model. The record is from RNAcentral.
GACGAACGCUGGCGGCGUGCUUAACACAUGCAAGUCGAACGGUGAAGCGCCUUCCUUUUUGGUGGGUGUGGAUGAGUGGCGAACGGGUGAGUAACACGUGAGUAACCUGCCCCCUUCUUCUGGAUAACCGCAUGAAAGUGUGGCUAAUACGGGAUAUUCUGGGUCUGUCGCAUGAUGGGUCUGGGAAAGAUAUUGUUUCGGUGGGGGAUGGGCUCGCGGCCUAUCAGCUUGUUGGUGGGGUGAUGGCCUACCAAGGCGGUGACGGGUAGCCGGCCUGAGAGGGUGGACGGUCACACUGGGACUGAGCCACGGCCCAGACUCCUACGGGAGGCAGCAGUGGGGAAUAUUGCACAAUGGGCGCAAGCCUGAUGCAGCGACGCCGCGUGAGGGAUGGAGGCCUUCGGGUUGUGAACCUCUUUCGCCAGUGAAGCAGGCCUGCCUCGUUUGUGGGUGGGUUGACGGUAGCUGGAGAAGAAGCGCCGGCUAACUACGUG